UAAUUACCUGUCACUCUUCGACAACUACAACUUUCUAUUGUUAUUAUUGCUUUUGUCCUUAAUUAUGUUCCUUAAUUUCGAUGAAAAUUCAUUACUUUGUGAAAAGAUCUUCCGCAACUACCGUAUUAUAUAAUAAUAAAUUCAUGACAACUUAAUUCAUGAAUAAAUUACCCAACAAUUAUGUGGAAUUAAUUUUUUGUGACUAUAAUCAUAUAUAAAACCUGUACUUAGGUCUUCUUCUUCUUCUUGUUUUAGGACGAGUCCUGUCUUUCUUGUCUUUGUCCUGCCUCUUGUGAUCCUGGUGUUCAACGUUUAGGCGACCUACCGGGUGAACGAGACGUACUUGAAUGUUCAAGAAAUUUACUCUGGGAAUAAAGGUCACAUUGGAUUUAUUAAAGAUUGAUCAAUCAACAAGCUAGCAGGGGCGCGGUAAAUUGGUGCAGCGGCUGAAUCAGAGCUAUUGGCAAAUUAGGUAAGCUAACUUUAAUCCGCUUUGCAGUUCUGCACACAUUUGACAUUCAUCGACGGAGUAACGUAGGAUUAAAAGGCUAUUAUGCUAAAUACCUGAAAAUUAAUCAUGGUUUAUCAUGAAAAGUCUUAAACACAUACUUGUGAGACGCUUUAAAUGUGCUGCUUGAUAAAACUAUUGAUAUUACUACUGAUUGUGAGAAAGACGCAAUUGCCAGCCAUUCGAGUUUUUUUUUAAAACAAAUAUGUAUACGUACAUACGAUUGAAUAAAAAAGUGCAGCCAUGUAUUUUCGUUCAAAGAUUUGGCGGGCAAGGAAACCUCAGCAAAAAUCUAUAAACAUCCUCGAAGUUGGACGAAGUUUCGCCCAGGGAAUUUAGUUACUCUCUUCGCACUGCAAGAAUUUACAGCGAUUAAAACGUUUUCAUUAGGUUUAUUCAAUGCCAUAGAAUUUGUUUACGGAUAACAUAAGCCAUCAAGCCUGAGGCUAGCGAUAGGGGCAGUCGGUUCGUUGAUUUGCGCCGACGAAAUUCAAAUAUCUUCUACCGUUGCAUUUGGCAAACGUUCUACGUAGUCUGUUCGUAGCCCGGGGCUCAUUCGCCAAUCACGGUGCGCGGUACUUCUUUUUUUCCCCCUCUUUCUUUUGCCCGCUUUCAUACGUGCGUUCACCAUUCUUUCUGCCGCUGCAAGGGAACAUCACCGCGUCUCUAAUCGUACGAUGUUACAGUUUCCGUUUUUCUUCCCGAGUUCCAUUACUCCUCGCGAUCCCGCAAAAAUCGCGAACGUUGUAUUCAGGCAGAAUCAGCGAAUCAUUAGAGAAUAUGUAAAGAGGUAACGGUUUUCAUUAGGCAAGGAUUAAAUUUACAUUGGAAGUCUCGACCACAUGAUUCAAGAAAGCGUUGAUUCUGAUUUCCUUAACAAAUUAACUCUGUUAAUUAUUCGGAAUAUUAUUGAAUUCAGUUACUGUUGGAUUGCUCUAAGGACUCUCUCGCAUUGAUUUGUGCAAUCUCGCUAGGUCGCCAAUUCAACGGAACAAAAAGUAAAGACUACAAUAAAAAAAUGUUUACAUAUUUUCUGUAAUAAAUAUGAAAUAUAUGGAAAGUGAAACUUCAACGUAAGGAAGCGACGUAAUUAUUAUGACAAAUCUAAUUUUGUUCUUGUAUUUUACAUUUUUUUAAAUAUAUAAUUGCAUUUGCAUAAUAUAA
Solenopsis invicta (red fire ant) is the source of this 1672-nucleotide long non-coding RNA. RefSeq lists it as uncharacterized. The transcript is spliced from 3 exons. Lineage: Eukaryota; Metazoa; Arthropoda; Insecta; Hymenoptera; Formicidae. The record is from RefSeq and is a predicted model, not a curated record.